RNAcentral lists this ribosomal RNA (301 nucleotides) under uncultured bacterium. Its description in RNAcentral is "partial 16S ribosomal RNA". It matches the Rfam family "Archaeal small subunit ribosomal RNA", at positions 459 to 760 of the family's 1478-position model. The record is from RNAcentral.
CAGUCGCCGCGGUAAUACCAGCACCUCGAGUGGUCAGGAGGUUUAUUGGGCCUAAAGCAUCCGUAGCCGGUUGCAUAAGUUUUCGGUUAAAUCUAUGCGCUUAACGUAUAGGCCGCCGAAAAUACUGUGCAGCUAGGGAGUGGGAGAGGUACACGGUACUCGAUAGGAAGGGGUAAAAUCCUUUGAUCUAUUGAUGACCACCUGUGGCGAAGGCGGUGUACCAGAACACGUUCGACGGUGAGGGAUGAAAGCUGGGGGAGCAAACCGGAUUAGAUACCCCCGUAGUCCCUGUCUCUUAUAC